UACGUAGGGGGCGAGCGUUGUCCGGAUUUAUUGGGCGUAAAGAGCUCGUAGGCGGUUUGGCAAGUCGGGUGUGAAAACUCCGGCUCAACUCGGAGACGCCACUCGAUACUGCCAUGACUCGAGUCCGGUAGGGGAGUGCGGAAUUCCUGGUGUAGCGGUGGAAAUGCGCAGAUAUCAGGAGGAACACCGGUGGCGAAGGCGGCACUCUGGGCCGGUACUGACGCUGAGGAGCGAAAGCGUGGGGAGCGAACAGG
Molecule: ribosomal RNA, 254 nt
Filed under: uncultured bacterium
Lineage: Bacteria
Description: partial 16S ribosomal RNA
Rfam family: Bacterial small subunit ribosomal RNA
Source: RNAcentral